This is a long non-coding RNA of Thalassophryne amazonica, 626 nucleotides long. RefSeq lists it as uncharacterized. NCBI's taxonomy places the organism in Eukaryota, Metazoa, Chordata, Actinopteri, Batrachoidiformes, Batrachoididae. The transcript has 2 exons. The record is from RefSeq and is a predicted model, not a curated record.
CGGACAACAACGAACGCCCGCAAUUUGUAUACUCAAUUCAUGCGCAAUUAAUCCUCUCCCCAGUGGGACAGGGCCCUUAAAACAGAAAGUCCAUUUCAUGGAAAUGGUGCCGAUUUUCAGAUUGUACUCUGAAUGAGCAGCGCUAAUUAGGUUAUAUCUGCUGUCAGCGUUUACUGCCAUUUUAUUAGGCCCAUUAUCCAGGAAACGUCUGCCUUGCCAGUACAUGACGAGUACGUGGUGUAAACUGGAUAAAUCUACAGCGCAGGGGUCCUGGUGACCAUCGCUAGCACCGCUGGGUGCAGGUGGGCCUGGCUGACUGAAGCUGACGGAUUGAUCCGACCCUCUCAGUCAGUCCUUCCUGGCUUCCUGGCGUUUUGCCCUGGCUGCUGUAGUGAUGAGGUAAUGCUGUUUGCUGCUUGCCUGUUGCUCCCCACCCCCCCACUCCACUUCCCUCCUUCAGCAGUGAAGCACAGCAGCAGCGAGCCCGGGCGCUUCCUCAGGGUCCUAGCGCUCCCCAGGCAGACGGCUCUCCAGUGGUGAAGCUGCUGAUGUUUACGAAACAGGGCGGAUCCCACACACCAGAAUGAAAGUGUUAUGGCGAACUGCGAGGACGUGUUAGAGAGACA